AGGUGCUGCACGGCUGUCGUCAGCUCGUGUCGUGAGAUGUUGGGUUAAGUCCCGCAACGAGCGCAACCCUCGUCACUAGUUACUAACGGUUCGGCCGAGGACUCUAGUGAGACUGCCUUCGCAAGGAGGAGGAAGGUGAGGACGACGUCAAGUCAUCAUGGCCCUUACGGCUAGGGCAACACACGUGCUACAAUGGUUGGGACAGUGAGACGCAAUACCGCGAGGUGGAGCAAAUCUAUAAACCCAAUCUCAGUUCGGAUUGUUCUCUGCAACUCGAGAACAUGAAGCUGGAAUCACUAGUAAUCGUAGAUCAGCUAUGCUACGGUGAAUACGUUCCCGGGUCUUGUACUCACCGCCCGUCACACCAUGGGAGUUGAUUUCACCCGAAGCGGGGAAGCUAAAUUGGCUACCCUCCACGGUGGAAUUAGCGACUGGGGUGAAGUCGUAACAAGGUA
This 455-nucleotide ribosomal RNA is filed under the name uncultured bacterium. RNAcentral's name for it is "bacterial SSU rRNA". It matches the Rfam family "Bacterial small subunit ribosomal RNA", at positions 1036 to 1498 of the family's 1533-position model. The record is from RNAcentral.